GCAGGGAUUAGCAGAUGGAGGCUUGCCGCAUUUCGAUGCGGAGUGCGUUGGUUCGAUUCCGACCCCUGCCCCA
Molecule: transfer RNA, 73 nt
Filed under: Bacteriophage sp.
Description: tRNA-OTHER
Source: RNAcentral